UAGGGAAUAUUGCAAAAUGGGCGAAAGCCCGAUGCAGCAACGCCGCGUGGGCGAUGAAGGCCUUCGGGUCGUAAAGCCCUUUUUGAGGGGAUGAGGAAGGACAGUACCCUCAGAAUAAGCCUCGGCUAACUACGUGCCAGCAGCCGCGGUAAAACGUAGGAGGCGAGCGUUAUCCGGAUUUACUGGGCGUAAAGCGCGUGCAGGCGGAUUGGAGAGUUGGAUGUGAAAGCUCCCGGCUUAACUGGGAGAGGUCGUUCAAUACUUCCAGUCUUGAGUGCAGUAGAGGGAAGUGGAAUUCCGGGUGUAGUGGUGAAAUGCGUAGAUAUCCGGAGGAACACCAGUGGCGAAAGCGGCUUCCUGGACUGUAACUGACGCUCAGACGCGAAAGCUAUGGUAGCAAACG
RNAcentral lists this ribosomal RNA (403 nucleotides) under uncultured bacterium. RNAcentral's name for it is "bacterial SSU rRNA". It matches the Rfam family "Bacterial small subunit ribosomal RNA", at positions 355 to 774 of the family's 1533-position model. The record is from RNAcentral.